AACAAAGCGGGAAGGGGCCGCUCCUGGGGAGUUUUUCCCAGCUUCCCUGGGCCGGUGAGGGGUCCUGGCGUCCUGAACUGGAGAUGCUCCUUAGAGGGCACUGCUUCAGCCACCCCUGCCUUAGCAUACAUACGGGUCCCACAGGGGUCCUUCGACACCAGCUCAUCGUCUGGGUUCCACCAUCCACCCACGCACUCAUUUGGCAGCUAUCAACGGAGUAUUCACAGUACGCUGCUCACAGUUCUAACCGCGGAGGAUAGAGUUGAGGCCCACACGACAGCCCCUGCUCUCACAGAACUGAUGUCUCUAGAAGAGUCUUCCCUCAGUGAGAACGUUCUGAUUUCUAGAACAUUCUUUCUUCUGAUGAGUGAACAGCCUCACCGGAACUUCCCCAUCCUCCUGGCUUGGUUCCUGAAGUGGCCCAAGGCUGCCUUCUCCCUCCCGUGGGUGAACAGGGUCACUGCUUCCUCUCUUGUCCAGGCCCCCUGGCCUGACCCUGAGUCCCGGGCGUAACGGCGUUGUUGAACCACCACAACCCCAGGCGGCGCCUUCCUCUUGGCCCAGGGGCUCUCUUGGGGACAGUGUGCAGUACUCCCCAAGGGGGCUUUGCUGUGCAAAAGCAGCCCCUGCCGAUGCUGCGGCUCCCGUGGAUGGAGCACUGCCGUGGGAACAGAGUUGGAACUCAUCCAAAAGAAUAAAAGACAACUGUGUUGGAAGAUUGCCAAGGUUUGUAGCUGUGCCACCGCAGACUUCAGAGAUGAACACUGCCUUGGAGACGAGGAGGAUUCAAGUUGCAGAAGCAUUUAGCAGGAAUCAGGAAAAUAUAAACUGCUUGAAGUACCAGUCUUCUUUACGAAGUCUUCACGUGCCCCAGGAGUCCUCCAGUUAGGGUGCCAUUAGCCAGGAGAGCUCCUGCCCAGAAUUUGUACCCAGCCACAUUGACACCCAGAAUGGAGCUACCUUGCCCAGCUUCCCUUACAACCAGGCAAGGAUGUCACAAUGUAGAACCAAUGGGAUGAAGGCAGAAACGUUGUGCGGCAGCUGCUGAGAACCUUCCUUAAAACCUAGUCAGAAUGAACCCUAUACAACCCUAUACCCAUCUGCCUUGGCAUACAGUUGUUGAAUCCUGGGCUGCGAGGACAGAGGUCCCUUCCAGGGGUGAUGGAGUGGUGAGUAGAAGGGAGCCUGGGUCCUGAGGACUUAAGGCAGAGUUGCCUUACCAGCUGUGGAAGGCAGAGCUUGGGCCUCAUGACUUUUGCCCUUGGCAUUAUUCAUGGAUAUGUUACAUUACAUGGCAAAAUGUAAUUAAGGUACCAAUUAGUUGACCUUAAAAUCGGAAGAUUGUCCUGGAUUCACCAGGUGGACCUAGUUUAAAUUGUAUGAGCCCUUGAAAGGGAAGAUCUUUUUCCAGCCCGUCGCAGAAGGGGAAGGCAGAGAUUUGAAGCAUGAGAAGGAUUCGCCAUGCAAUUAUUGGCUUGAAGAUGAGGGCAUCUGCAUGUCAAGGAGAUAGGGAUCUCAGUUUCACAACUGCAAUGAACUGAAUUCUGCUAACAACCUAGAUGCACUUGUAAGUGGAUUCUUCCCCAGAGUCUGCAGACAGCCCAGCCCAGCCAACACUUUGAAAGCCAAAGUGGAUUUUAGCUUUGAGAGUCCCUGAGCACAGAACGCAACUGCGCCACACUGUACCAGGACUUCUGGUCCAUGGAUGCUGUGAGCUAAUAACUUUGUGUCUUUUAAAGCUGCUGCAUGUGUGGUGAUUUGCUAUGCAGCAAUAGACAAUGGACAGGCUAGCCUGUAUGUAAGUGAAAAACAUCGUUUGUUUUCUUCUCAAUUGCAGCCCAACCUGAUCACAACUAAUGCACAAACAAAUAAUCCAAGGCUGAACUGUUGACUGUGGAGACAGGAGAUGCAGUGAAGAAUAUUUCUAUUUGAGUGACCCAGGUGGAGGAAGAGAGUGGAGGCAAGAAUAUAGAUGUAAGCAUCCUUGACCUCCCCAAUUCAUUGCUGGGCAGGAGGCAGAUAAACAGAGGCUUCCAGAAGGGUUCAUGUGAGUCCUGGAGCAGAAGGUUUGUCCAUGCAUCUUCAGACAUGGCCUGGAAAGAUUACUCACCUCUCAGAAAAAUCUGGGGGGCUGCUGCUUCUCAUAUUGAGUUAGAAGGCAGAGCUUGGACACUGGACCAAAUUGAGGACUAGCUAAAAUGCGGAUGGGGCAAAAACAACUUUCUAUAAGAUAUGCCCAACAGAGUGCCAUGUCGGUUUACCAUUGCCAGGGCAACACUCGAGCGGUACCACCUUUGUCCAUGGCAAUGACUCAACCACCUAGAAAUUACCACUCUUUUUCAAGAAAUUUUUGCAUAAUCUGUCCCUUAAUUUUCAAAGUAAAUAUAAGUGUGAGUACAAAACUGCUUCUGAGCUGCUGCUCUGGGCACACUGCCUCUGGGGUAGCCCUGCUCCACAAGGCACAACACCUCUGCUGCUGCUUCAAUAGAAGUUGCUGUCUAGCACCACUGGCUCACCCUUAAAUUCUUUCCUGGGCAAAGGCAACAACCCUCCCAGGUGAAGCCUCGAUUUUGGGUUCACCUGCCUUGCAUCAGUAUGACACGCAAAAGCAAAGAGAAGAUUCUUGGCGGUGGGUGUGAGAUGUGAUUCUCAGGUUCCCAGGGUCUUGGGCAAGCUAUUCCUUGGAGCUGGGCAUGCGAUGGGUGUGAUGGCAGCCUUGGGCUCUCCAAAGAAAGGCAGCCCCAGCAGGACAGUGGAAUUGGUGGGGAAGAAACACAGCCUUGCAGGCCAUGAGUCCCCCUAGCCACAGACACCUACCUUCACAGUGGGUCCAGCAGGGAGCCAGCCACUCUCUCAGAGCACCAGGACCCUAACCUUUCCCAGUGUCCACCUGCUGCUGGGGAGUAGGAAGAAGCAGGAUGUUCUUGAGGAGAGGAGACAUUCAGGAAGACUAAUUACCCAACUGCCUCCGACUGACAAGAUUGAGCAUUUACAGGUAUCUUGCAAUCAAUAAGAGUUCAAGAGCAAGAUAAGCUGAGGUACAAAAAAUAAUGAUGGUCACCUUUUGUUUUGUUUUGUUUUCUCGUUUGGCUCAUAUUGUAUAGUUUUCUAGCUUAUAAUGUAAAGAUUUAUCCUUUCCACAUUUUUGUUUUUUCCCCAUAAUUUUCAUUCUUUAUUUUAAAAGACUUUCUUCUUACUGGAAAAAAAAAGCAUAAUUCUAUGUCCAACACUGUACUGAAUGCUGUGUUUUUUUUUAAACUAAAUACAUUUUAAUAGAAAACAAAAUGCAAAAUAACUCUUUUCAGAAAACAAAUAUUUAAUCCUUUUCCCACAAAUUAGAACUUGCUUUAUCCUCAGAGCACCAUUGAAUUAUUUAGUUUAUAUUUUCUUCCUUUUUAAAUU
This 3402-nucleotide long non-coding RNA is filed under the name Homo sapiens (human). Its description in RNAcentral is "HSALNT0305581". Lineage: Eukaryota; Metazoa; Chordata; Mammalia; Primates; Hominidae. The record is from RNAcentral.